This 397-nucleotide ribosomal RNA is filed under the name uncultured bacterium. Its description in RNAcentral is "partial 16S ribosomal RNA". It matches the Rfam family "Bacterial small subunit ribosomal RNA", at positions 523 to 918 of the family's 1533-position model. The record is from RNAcentral.
AUACGUAGGGGGCGAGCGUUGUCCGGAAUGAUUGGGCGUAAAGGGCGCGUAGGCGGCCCGGUAAGUCUGGAGUGAAAGUCCUGUUUUUAAGAUGGGAAUUGCUUUGGAUACUGUCGGGCUUGAGUGCAGGAGAGGUAAGUGGAAUUCCCAGUGUAGCGGUGAAAUGCGUAGAGAUUGGGAGGAACACCAGUGGCGAAGGCGACUUACUGGACUGUAACUGACGCUGAGGCGCGAAAGUGUGGGGAGCAAACAGGAUUAGAUACCCUGGUAGUCCACACUGCAAACGAUGAAUGCUAGGUGUAGGGGGUAUCGACCCCUUCUGUGCCGCAGUCAACACAAUAAGCAUUCCGCCUGGGGAGUACGGCCGCAAGGUUGAAACUCAAAUGAAUUGGCGGGG